This 478-nucleotide ribosomal RNA is filed under the name uncultured bacterium. RNAcentral's name for it is "partial 16S ribosomal RNA". It matches the Rfam family "Bacterial small subunit ribosomal RNA", at positions 28 to 523 of the family's 1533-position model. The record is from RNAcentral.
GACGAACGCUGGCGGCAUGCCUAACACAUGCAAGUCGAGCGAGUUGAUCCCUUCGGGGUGAAUCUAGCGGCGGACGGGUGAGUAACACGUGGGCAACCUGCCUCAUAGAGGGGAAUAACCUUCCGAAAGGAAGAUUAAUACCGCAUAAGAUUGUAGCUUCGCAUGAAGUAGCAAUUAAAGGAGCAAUCCGCUAUGAGAUGGGCCCGCGGCGCAUUAGCUAGUUGGUGAGGUAACGGCUCACCAAGGCGACGAUGCGUAGCCGACCUGAGAGGGUGAUCGGCCACAUUGGGACUGAGACACGGCCCAGACUCCUACGGGAGGCAGCAGUGGGGAAUAUUGCACAAUGGGGGAAACCCUGAUGCAGCAAUGCCGCGUGAGUGAUGACGGCCUUCGGGUUGUAAAGCUCUGUCUUCGGGGACGAUAAUGACGGUACCCGAGGAGGAAGCCACGGCUAACUACGUGCCAGCCGCCGCGGUAA